This 963-nucleotide long non-coding RNA is filed under the name Homo sapiens (human). RNAcentral's name for it is "non-protein coding LINC00909:17". The record is from RNAcentral. Lineage: Eukaryota; Metazoa; Chordata; Mammalia; Primates; Hominidae.
AAAUUCGAUGAGCGCGUCGGGCUCCAAGGCAGGCGCUGUCAGCCCGGGAGGGCUGUCUGGGAUUUCUAGAGGGUCCCAGAACGGGUUCUUCCCAGGCCGAUCCCGCCUGCUUCCUGCCCCGUCUCUCCACCCGCCUCCCGCCCUCUGUAAGGGACCCCGAGGGCGGCGCCGGAAACACGGAGAAGGCCCAGAACGGCGCGGGACCCGAGAGGCCUACGUUGGCAAACGCAGCCCGCUGCCCCUUUGCUCGCUUCCCCCGGGCCUGGAGUGGCUCCUGUCGCUUCUGGCGCUCCGAUUUCGAGAAAUGACUUUCAGCUGUGCAAGCCAACGAGUGGAUAAAGAAAAUGUGAUAUAUAUGCACUAUGGAAUACUAAGCCAUAAGAAGGAAUGAAAUAAUGGCAUUUGCAGCAACCUAGAUGGAGUUGGAGACCAUUAUUCUAAGUGAAGUAACUCAAGAAUGGAAAACCAAAUAUUGUAUGUUCUCACUCGUAAGUGGGAGCUAAGCUGCGAAGAUGCAAAGGCAUAAGAAUGAUAUAGUGGACUUUGAGGACUCAAGGGUUGAAGGAUGAGACUACACAUUGGGUACAGUGUGCACUGCUUGGGUGAUGAGUGCACCAAAAUCUCAGAACUCACCACUGAAGAACUUCCCCAUGUAACCAAAAACCACCUGUUCCACAGAAACUAUCGAAAUAACAUUUUUAAAACUUUACUAUUUCUGAAUAAAAUUUACAUACAUUUCUCAGAAAAAAAAAUAUUUGGAAUUGAGGUAUCUAAUAGAGAACUGAGUUAAAUUAUUGCCACUUAAAAACACAAAGUGAUAUAGCCACUUUAUGAAUUAAUCAGUCAGCAGUGGCUAGGUUAUGCUUAGUGGUUUAUAACCAAAUCUUAGUUUAUAACAACAAAUGUGUAUUGUUAAUUCCCACUACAAGUUUAUAACGACAUUGCUGGAUGCUACACUCCAUG